This 528-nucleotide long non-coding RNA is filed under the name Arabidopsis thaliana (thale cress). RNAcentral describes it as "potential natural antisense gene, locus overlaps with AT5G01180 (AT5G01175)". Lineage: Eukaryota; Viridiplantae; Streptophyta; Magnoliopsida; Brassicales; Brassicaceae. The record is from RNAcentral.
ACUCACUCCGCCGCCGUCCCUGCUUCCACCACAUCCUCCGAUUUAUGAUUGGAUGGGAUCAUCGAGCUGAUUCGAUUGCAAGAAUGCAAGUAAGAACAAGAGACUGAUUGAGAAUUGUAAAAACCGGAAAUUUGGGUGAUGCUUUGAAAGUGUUUGACGAAAUGUCUAAGAGAGAAGAACAACUUGAGGUAUGGAACAACUGAAUUAGUCAAGGCUGGAUAAUGACUAAGGUUCUUUGAAAGCUUGCAUUCGAGUCUCAGAGCGUUUGAUCACGGAUUCAUCACUACUAUUCUAGUUGCAAUCAAAGAAAUGGUUUCACUAGCGGAAUCUCAGCACAACGCUUGUGUUAAAUACAAACCCUUGAACUCUGCAACCACAAAGCAAUAAGGAUAGUCGAAUUCAAAAGUAGUAUCUUGUAACCUAAACUCAAGCAAAGAACUUCAAACUUGCUUGUUUAUGAAAAAUAAAAAUAAUAUCUGUAAAUAUGUUUCAGUAACGAGAUUAUCAAACAUUGCGACUAAUUUCAAA